Sinocyclocheilus grahami is the source of this 172-nucleotide long non-coding RNA. RefSeq lists it as uncharacterized. The transcript is spliced from 3 exons. The record is from RefSeq and is a predicted model, not a curated record. Lineage: Eukaryota; Metazoa; Chordata; Actinopteri; Cypriniformes; Cyprinidae.
GGACUUUCUGAUGUUCUGAUUGAAAUGAAAUCUAAGGACAAACACAGAAGGAAGAGCAGUGAGUCUGGAGACACUCUGUACUCUGAACUGAACCACAACAGAGAUAGAGAUGCUGAUGCUGGAGUUGGUGAUGCAACUUAUGCUCUAGCUUUUUGGAAGAAGGGUCACAAAA